UUAAUUUUAGACCAUUUUUCUAAAUCACAAGCAUUCAUAAUCCCCUUAUUUGAGGGAAGAUAAAAUAUAAGCUGAGACAACAAGUUUUUUGCGUUGGCAGAGAUAUUAAUGCACGUCAUUAUGGAACUUUUUUGGGAUUUUAUACCGAGGUCUUCAAAGUCUAUUGGUUUAGCACCGUGUUAUCAAUGUUAUUAUUAUCAACUUAUUAAAAGAUGCUAUGUUUACACUCUUAGAUUAGUGUUUAUUAUUUCAGUAGCAUUAUUAAAAAAAAAAAACAGCGACACAUUCAUCUGUCUCAAAGCCAACAUGUGAGGAAGCAGAAAAGAACUUUCCCAAAAGAUAAAGCAAUACAGGUUAAUAAAGGGAUAUAAAAUUGAUGUAGAAAUC
Long non-coding RNA from Episyrphus balteatus (marmalade hoverfly), 387 nucleotides. RefSeq lists it as uncharacterized. The record is from RefSeq and is a predicted model, not a curated record. NCBI's taxonomy places the organism in Eukaryota, Metazoa, Arthropoda, Insecta, Diptera, Syrphidae. The transcript is spliced from 2 exons.